UACAUUGACGUUAGUCACAGAAGAAGCACCGGCUAACUCCGUGCCAGCAGCCGCGGUAAUACGGAGGGUGCGAGCGUUAAUCGGAAUGACUGGGCGUAAAGGGCACGCAGGCGGUGACUUAAGUGAGAUGUGAAAGCCCCGAGCUUAACUUGGGAAUUGCAUUUCAUACUGGGUUGCUAGAGUAUUUUAGGGAGGGGUAGAAUUCCACGUGUAGCGGUGAAAUGCGUAGAGAUGUGGAGGAAUACCGAAGGCGAAGGCAGCCCCUUGGGAAAAUACUGACGCUCAUGUGCGAAAGCGUGGGGAGCAAACAGGAUUAGAUACCCUGGUAGUCCACGCUGUAAACGCUGUCGAUUUGGGGAUUGGGCUUAGAGCUUGGUGCCCGUAGCUAACGUGAUAAAUCGACCGCCUGGGGAGUACGGCCGCAAGGUUAAAACUCAAAUGAAUUGACGGGGGCCCGCACAAGCGGUGGAGCAUGUGGUUUAAUUCGAUGCAACGCGAAGAACCUUACCUACUCUUGACAUCCUAAGAAGAACUCAGAGAUGAGUUUGUGCCUUCGGGAACUUAGAGACAGGUGCUGCAUGGCUGUCGUCAGCUCGUGUUGUGAAAUGUUGGGUUAAGUCCCGCAACGAGCGCAACCCUUAUCCUUUGUUGCCAGCGAUU
This 660-nucleotide ribosomal RNA is filed under the name Glaesserella parasuis. Its description in RNAcentral is "bacterial SSU rRNA". It matches the Rfam family "Bacterial small subunit ribosomal RNA", at positions 465 to 1126 of the family's 1533-position model. Lineage: Bacteria; Pseudomonadati; Pseudomonadota; Gammaproteobacteria; Pasteurellales; Pasteurellaceae. The record is from RNAcentral.